CCCGAGGGGCGGGCCACUCGGCCCGCUAAGGGACAGCUCCGGUCCCAAGUCCGG
Molecule: non-coding RNA, 54 nt
Filed under: unclassified sequences
Source: RNAcentral